UCUCCAGCCAGUACCAAGGUGGAAAAUGGAAUGAAUCUGCCUCUGCCUCUGAGAGUGGGCUUGUGGGCUUCCUGAAGUGCAUCCUGGUUAAGGCUUCUAUGCGCUCUUAAAGAUGUGAAUCUUGCCGAACUUUAAAAGAUCUUGAGAGUGCAAGUCUUGUCACUAGUGACCUUGUGGCAAUAGAACACAAGCAAUGUCUACUUCAUGUUGCUCUUUAUGUCUGCAGUAUUUGGCACAUAGAGCUGAAGAUGGUGUGAUAGAAUCACCUGAAGGAAUUAAGAAUGUCAACCCGGAGAAGAGAAUUUAAGGGGACACAGGAAGCAAUGGUUCCAUGAAGAAAAAAGCAUUUGUUAAGCAUUUGCUGAAAUACCCAGCAUGGAUAGAGAACUUGAAAGUUUGCAAACAAUUUUUAUAUAUUUAUGUAUAUUCGCGCUGUCCUCUACUAUUUGAAAGCCCACCACUCAAAACUGGAUGACCAUUUUAGGGAAAGGAGGAUCGGUUUCCCUUCUAGAAUAAAAAGAACUAUAUGAUUUC
Long non-coding RNA from Sarcophilus harrisii (Tasmanian devil), 534 nucleotides. RefSeq lists it as uncharacterized. The record is from RefSeq and is a predicted model, not a curated record. Lineage: Eukaryota; Metazoa; Chordata; Mammalia; Dasyuromorphia; Dasyuridae. The transcript has 3 exons.